Acanthosepion pharaonis is the source of this 105-nucleotide non-coding RNA. Lineage: Eukaryota; Metazoa; Mollusca; Cephalopoda; Sepiida; Sepiidae. The record is from the annotation of a GenBank genome assembly.
UUACGGCCAUAUUGCGAUGAACCGCCGGUUCUCGUACGAUCUCCGAAGUUAAGCAACGUCGAGCCUGGUCAGUAUCUAGAUGACUGACCGCUUAGGAAUACCAAG